This 382-nucleotide unclassified non-coding RNA is filed under the name plant metagenome. RNAcentral's name for it is "partial contains 5.8S ribosomal RNA, internal transcribed spacer 2, and large subunit ribosomal RNA". The stretch from base 1 to 105 matches the Rfam family "5.8S ribosomal RNA", at positions 50 to 154 of the family's 154-position model. The record is from RNAcentral.
GAAAUGCGAUAAGUAAUGUGAAUUGCAGAAUUCCGUGAAUCAUCGAAUCUUUGAACGCAUAUUGCACUCUCUGGUAUUCCGGAGAGUACGCCUGUUUGAGUGUCAGUUCAAAACCUCAACUCCCCCUAUAGGGCGUUGGAUUUGAGUGAUUUCCUAUUCUUCACCUCAAGAAUGGGUCGCUUUAAAAUCAAUGGCAAAACUUUUUAUUAGUAGCUCAUGCCUAAAGCAACUAGGACUCUUUUUCGAGUUUGAAUGGCUUAAGGUGAUUACUGUGAAAAGCAAAUUUGGCCUUGAACUAAAAUUAAAAUCAAAGAUUUUCGUUUAACAGCGUGUCUUUGAAACUUGACCUCAAAUCAGGUGGGACUACCCGCUGAACUUAAGC